AAAUUGAAGAGUUUGAUCAUGGCUCAGAUUGAACGCUGGCGGCAGGCCUAACACAUGCAAGUCGAACGGUAACAGGAAGCAGCUUGCUGUUUCGCUGACGAGUGGCGGACGGGUGAGUAAUGUCUGGGAAACUGCCUGAUGGAGGGGGAUAACUACUGGAAACGGUAGCUAAUACCGCAUAACGUCGCAAGACCAAAGAGGGGGACCUUCGGGCCUCUUGCCAUCGGAUGUGCCCAGAUGGGAUUAGCUUGUUGGUGGGGUAACGGCUCACCAAGGCGACGAUCCCUAGCUGGUCUGAGAGGAUGACCAGCCACACUGGAACUGAGACACGGUCCAGACUCCUACGGGAGGCAGCAGUGGGGAAUAUUGCACAAUGGGCGCAAGCCUGAUGCAGCCAUGCCGCGUGUAUGAACGAAGGCCUUCGGGUUGUAAAGUACAUUUCAGCGGGGAGGAAGGGAGUAAAGUUAAUACCUUUGCUCAUUGACGUUACCCGCAGAAGAAGCACCGGCUAACUCCGUGCCAGCAGCCGCGGUAAUACGGAGGGUGCAAGCGUUAAUCGGAAUUACUGGGCGUAAAGCGCACGCAGGCGGUUUGUUAAGUCAGAUGUGAAAUCCCCGGGCUCAACCUGGGAACUGCAUCUGAUACUGGCAAGCUUGAGUCUCGUAGAGGGGGGUAGAAUUCCAGGUGUAGCGGUGAAAUGCGUAGAGAUCUGGAGGAAUACCGGUGGCGAAGGCGGCCCCCUGGACGAAGACUGACGCUCAGGUGCGAAAGCGUGGGGAGCAAACAGGAUUAGAUACCCUGGUAGUCCACGCCGUAAACGAUGUCGACUUGGAGGUUGUGCCCUUGAGGCGUGGCUUCCGGAGCUAACGCGUUAAGUCGACCGCCUGGGGAGUACGGCCGCAAGGUUAAAACUCAAAUGAAUUGACGGGGGCCCGCACAAGCGGUGGAGCAUGUGGUUUAAUUCGAUGCAACGCGAAGAACCUUACCUGGUCUUGACAUCCACAGAACUUUCCAGAGAUGGAUUGGUGCCUUCGGGAGCUGUGAGACAGGUGCUGCAUGGCUGUCGUCAGCUCGUGUUGUGAAAUGUUGGGUUAAGUCCCGCAACGAGCGCAACCCUUAUCCUUUGUUGCCAGCGGUCCGGCCGGGAACUCAAAGGAGACUGCCAGUGAUAAACUGGAGGAAGGUGGGGAUGACGUCAAGUCAUCAUGGCCCUUACGACCAGGGCUACACACGUGCUACAAUGGCGCAUACAAAGAGAAGCGACCUCGCGAGAGCAAGCGGACCUCAUAAAGUGCGUCGUAGUCCGGAUUGGAGUCUGCAACUCGACUCCAUGAAGUCGGAAUCGCUAGUAAUCGUGGAUCAGAAUGCCACGGUGAAUACGUUCCCGGGCCUUGUACACACCGCCCGUCACACCAUGGGAGUGGGUUGCAAAAGAAGUAGGUAGCUUAACCUUCGGGAGGGCGCUUACCACUUUGUGAUUCAUGACUGGGGUGAAGUCGUAACAAGGUAACCGUAGGGGAACCUGCGGUUGGAUCACCUCCUUACCUUAAAGAAGC
This 1556-nucleotide ribosomal RNA is filed under the name Escherichia coli O104:H4 str. 01-09591. RNAcentral's name for it is "bacterial SSU rRNA". It matches the Rfam family "Bacterial small subunit ribosomal RNA". Lineage: Bacteria; Pseudomonadati; Pseudomonadota; Gammaproteobacteria; Enterobacterales; Enterobacteriaceae. The record is from RNAcentral.